RNAcentral lists this ribosomal RNA (292 nucleotides) under uncultured bacterium. RNAcentral's name for it is "partial 16S ribosomal RNA". It matches the Rfam family "Bacterial small subunit ribosomal RNA", at positions 505 to 796 of the family's 1533-position model. The record is from RNAcentral.
GUGUCAGCAGCCGCGGUAAUACAGAGAGUGCGAACGUUGUUCGGAAUUACUGGGCUUAAAGCGCACGUAGGCGGCAUCGUAAGUGUCCGGUGAAAUCCCACGGCUCACCCGUGGAACUGCCUGGCAGACUGCGAUGCUCGAGUGUGGUAGGGGAGAGCGGAACUCCUGGUGGAGCGGUGAAAUGCGUAGAUAUCAGGAGGAACACCGGUGGCGAAGGCGGCUCUCUGGUCCACAACUGACGCUGAGGUGCGAAAGCUAGGGGAGCAAACGGGAUUAGAUACCCCCGUAGUCC